Molecule: long non-coding RNA, 2606 nt
Filed under: Sus scrofa (pig)
Lineage: Eukaryota; Metazoa; Chordata; Mammalia; Artiodactyla; Suidae
Description: lncRNA (ENSSSCG00060074611.1)
Source: RNAcentral
CCUGUGACAUAUGGAAGUUCCCAGGCCAGGGAUCGAAUCCUAGCUGCAGCUACAGUAACUCACUGUGCUGAGCCAGGGAUUGAACCAGCACUGCUGCAGAGACACCACCAGAUCCUUAACCGAGUGCACCACAGUGGGAACUCCAAUCAAAUAUUUAAAUAGGAAAUGAUUAAUACUUUCUUAUUACAAUUUAUAUAUAUAAAUAUAUACAUAUGCUUAGCCUCCAAAUCAGCAUCUGAUAAGAGGGGGAAUACCUGAAGUCAAGUUUAAGGCAUGGACUCCCAUUAUUUCUACCACUUAUUAUGAUUGGAGGUAUUAGCAAACAUAAUUAGUAAAAAAAAAAGAAUUGGAAAGGAAAAGAUAAAAUUAUCUCUAUUUGCUGAAGACAUGAUAGAAUACCUAGAAAACUAGAAUAUAAAAACAUAUAAAAAUCAACACAAAAGAAAAGAAACCAAGAUUAAAUGCUUGAGUAUAAACUUAGAAAUUUGCAACACUUACAUGAAUGAAAGUUUAAAACUAACUCCUGAUGGACUGAGAAAUUCAAGAGUAAAUUUGACUAAGCGGAAUGAUGUCUCUCGUUCUUGGUCAAUUCAUCAUCAUAAAAAUAUUAGCUCUCUCCAAGUUAAUAUGUACGUUUAACCUGAAACCAAUAAAAGUUUGGAUUGAAAUAGGGUCUACUCAAGGUAACUGACUGAUAUCUUUUAAGUCUCUUCCUAUUUACAGCGCUUCUUAGUCUCUCACCCUUUCCCUUUUCCUCACACUAAGACCACCAUCCCCAGGUAAUCUCUCUAGCAAGACAGACCUCAUUAUGCGAUGGCUGUUUUCUGAGAACAAGGAGGAGGCAGCAAGAUCUUUAAGAUGCAGCCUUGCAAGCUGCGUGUCACUUCUGACACAUAUUAUUAAUCAUAGUCAGUCACUGGGCCAGCCCAGAUUCAAGGAAAAGGGAAAUAGACUCUUAUCUCAAUUUGAAAAACUGGCAAAGUAACAUUGUAAAAAAUAAAAAAGCAUGUGGGAUGGGAACUACUGUUACAGCCAUCUUUGCAAACACAAUCUACCAUAAAAUGCAAAUGAAAACUACAAAAAAACUUUCGCAUCCAUCAAAUUGCAAAAAUCUAAAAGUUGACAGUGGCAGGCUCGAAAGAAAUAGGCAAUCUCAUGCACUGCAGGUGGAAGUAGAGUGUGGUAAAGGCGCUAUGCAAGGGAAUCUGACAAUAAUUACCCUUUGACAGCAAUCAAUCAUAAUCCUACUUCUACCUACUUGAAUAGAAUAUGUACAUAUGCUGGUUGCGUUAACUUCACUUUUCUUUUCCUUGACCCAUAAGAGUAAGCAGUACAGAAGCUAUGAUUUUCAUUCUUUUAAAAUAACUAAAAGCAUCAUCAACUGAUAUGCUGAGCACCAUUGCUGGUCUUAUAUUCUGAUAAACAGAGGAACUCACGGUAUAUCUGAUAAGGUCUGAUUCUGCAAGUAACUUAAUAUUCUGCAUAUUUAUGUAAAGAUGAACUUUAGCUUCCAAGUUAUUCUUAAAUUAAUAUGUAAUGAAAUCAUUUGUCUGGGUAUUUCCUAUGCAUUCCCGUUAAUCUCCUAAUGACUUUAUAUUAGGCAUUGCACCUCACACUCCAAAAUUAGUAACAGACUUAUCAGAACUAUUUUCACAUAUACAUAUACUCCAUGUACACCUGAACAUAAGCAGGUUUAUUUCUAACUAUCCCUCAGAAGUCUUCUUUGUUGAGGCCUCACAAAAUCUCUUUACAAGGAGUACUCUCAAUUAUUUAUUUGAAUUUCAGGUAAUAGUUGGGAAAUCACAUUAGACUGAAGCCACUUCUAUCAAUGUUACUUUCAGAAAGCUAAAAAUAAAUAAAUAAAUAAAUAAGCCACCAGGUGAAGUAUUUAAAAACAAGACAUCUUAGUUCCCAUUGUGGCUGAAUGGGUUAAGAACCCAAAUAGUAUCCAUGAGGAUGGGGGUUUGAUCCCUGGCCUUGCUCAGUGGGUUAAGGAUCCGGUGUUACUGUGAGCUGCAGCACAGGCCACAGAUGACGCUGGGAUCUGGUGUUGCUGUGGCUGUGGCAUAUGCCUUAGCUGCAGCUCCGAUUCAACCCCAGCCUGGGAACUUACAUAUGCCACAGGUGUGGCCCUGAAAAGAAAAAUAAUAAUAAAAAAAAAGAGAUAAAGAAAUAUAACAAUGACUUAGUUAUUAUUCUUAGAGACAUGAUCUCAAAAACAAGCAUAGUAUGCAUUACAACAAGCAUUUUAAAGAUCACUUUUGGCACAACACGGUAAAUCAAUUAUACUCUAAUUUUUAAAAAGUAAAAAAAUAAAGAUCACUUUUAAGAACAAUAGAAGUGGUUAUACAAUGCAGAAAUUAAUUACCUACAGGAUGCAUGAAAACCAUUUCUAAUUUGAUAUUUAUACAAUGAAUAAUCUGAAGCAUGAAAUUUCUUUUAUCAUACCUGUGUAAAACAUUCCUAUCUUUCAAAACAAAUUAUUUUUCCUAUUAUAGUUGCUUUAUAAUGUUCUGCCAAUUUCUGCUGUACAGCAGAGACCGUCACACACACACGCACACAUUCUUUUUCUCACAUUAUCCUCCACCAUGUUCCAUCACAAGUGA